RNAcentral lists this ribosomal RNA (318 nucleotides) under uncultured eukaryote. Its description in RNAcentral is "partial 18S ribosomal RNA". It matches the Rfam family "Eukaryotic small subunit ribosomal RNA", at positions 1470 to 1796 of the family's 1831-position model. The record is from RNAcentral.
CCCUUAGAUGUCCUGGGCCGCACGCGUGCUACACUGACGCAUACAGCGAGCACUUUCCAGUUCCGAGAGGCUACUGGUAAUCAUCAAUAUGCGUCGUGAUGGGGAUAGAUCUUUGGAAUUCUGGAUCUUGAACGAGGAAUGCCUAGUAAUCGCAGGUCAUUAGCCUGCGAUGAUUAAGUCCCUGCCCUUUGUACACACCGCCCGUCGCUACUACCGAUUUCGAGUGGUCAGGUGAAUCUUUCGGACUGUGGGCGCCCUUGAGGUGUUCGCGGAAAGUCAGGUAAAUCUUAUCACUUAGAGGAAGUAAAAGUCGCAACA